Hibiscus syriacus is the source of this 291-nucleotide long non-coding RNA. RefSeq lists it as uncharacterized. Lineage: Eukaryota; Viridiplantae; Streptophyta; Magnoliopsida; Malvales; Malvaceae. The record is from RefSeq and is a predicted model, not a curated record. The transcript has 2 exons.
UAUUUGUCAUGAUCUAUAAUCGUUGGAAUGGGAUCCUUGUUCCAGAAUCUGGAUACAUGCGGUUAGAAUUGAUCUCAAUGUUGGUGGGAUUCUUCACAUACAAGAUUGCAACUUUCUUUCAAGCUAUAGAUGACGCAGUUACUGUUGUUGGGGAAAAACUAAGGUCUACUAUUAAAAACGAUUGAAGUAUAGGGCUUAGUAUUCUUUAUCACUGUUCAUUGGAAAAUGCUUUGGAGAAGAUGACUAUAAUGCUUGUUCUUGUACAAGUUCUGUAAAAUGCUGUUCUUUUCC